RNAcentral lists this non-coding RNA (217 nucleotides) under Pseudomonas sp. Lineage: Bacteria; Pseudomonadati; Pseudomonadota; Gammaproteobacteria; Pseudomonadales; Pseudomonadaceae. The record is from RNAcentral.
CGAUUUCUUAUCCGCCCAGGUGUGCACGACCGCAAGGUCCGCAUUAAACGGGAAGCCGGUGCGCUCGCGAGAGCAAGGCCGGCGCUGCCCCCGCAACGGUAAUCGACCGCGAUCCAGCCGGAUCGCCGUCCGCUCGACAGCCACUGUGUUUCGACAUGGGAAGGCGAGCGCGAUGAGCGUCGAAAGCCCGGAGACCGGCCUGGCGGAUUCGACGGGU